AGAGUUUGAUCCUGGCUCAGAAUGAACGUUGGCGGCGUGGAUUAGGCAUGCAAGUCGAACGGAUCUGGUUUUCGGACCAGGUUAGUGGCGUAAGGGUGAGUAAUGCGACGGCAACCAACCCCAUGGUUGGGCAUAACCGCGGGAAGCUGCGGAUAAUAUCCAGCGAUGUUCGUGUCGGGCAUCCGGUGCGAACCAAAGUUUCGGCGCCGUGGGACGGGCCGUCGUGGUAUUAGGUAGUUGGCGGGGUAAUGGCCCACCAAGCCUUUGAUGCCUACCGGGCGUGCGAGCGUGGCCCGGCACACUGGGACUGAGACACUGCCCAGACUCCUACGGGAGGCUGCAGUCGAGAAUCUUCGGCAAUGGGCGCAAGCCUGACCGAGCGACGCCGCGUGGAGGAUGAAGGCCUU
This 407-nucleotide ribosomal RNA is filed under the name uncultured bacterium. RNAcentral's name for it is "bacterial SSU rRNA". It matches the Rfam family "Bacterial small subunit ribosomal RNA", at positions 8 to 418 of the family's 1533-position model. The record is from RNAcentral.